Small RNA from Staphylococcus aureus subsp. aureus NCTC 8325, 246 nucleotides. It matches the Rfam family "Staphylococcus sRNA 35 (srn_0335)". Rfam says of the family: Other name: Srn_0335, SAOUHSCs258. Northern blot transcript confirmed in exponentially growing and stationary cells in three cultivation media. Trans-encoded. Lineage: Bacteria; Bacillati; Bacillota; Bacilli; Caryophanales; Staphylococcaceae. The record is from Rfam.
UCAUGCAUAAGGGAGUGGGACAGAAAUGAUAUUUUCGCAAAAUUUAUUUCGUCGUCCCACCCCAACUUGCAUUGCCUGUAGAAUUUCUUUUCGAAAUUCUCUAUGUUGGGGCCCCACCCCAACUUGCACAUUAUAGUAAGCUGACUUUUCGUCAGCUUCUGUGUUGGGGCCCCAUUGUUAUAAGCUCAUUUUAACUCUGUCGAUGGCUGCCAAUAUAACAUUGUAAAGCCCAGGACGUUAAUUUAU